CAGCAGCCACGGUAAUACGAAGGGGGCUAGCGUUGCUCGGAAUGACUGGGCGUAAAGGGCGCGUAGGCGGCGAUCAAAGUCAGGCGUGAAAUUCCUGGGCUCAACCUGGGGGCUGCGUUUGAUACUUGAUUGCUAGAGUGGGGAAGAGGGUCGUGGAAUUCCCAGUGUAGAGGUGAAAUUCGUAGAUAUUGGGAAGAACACCGGUGGCGAAGGCGGCGACCUGGUCCUUGACUGACGCUGAGGCGCGAAAGCGUGGGGAGCAAACAGGAUUAGAUACCCGGGUAGUCCCUGUCUCUUAUAC
Molecule: ribosomal RNA, 301 nt
Filed under: uncultured bacterium
Lineage: Bacteria
Description: partial 16S ribosomal RNA
Rfam family: Bacterial small subunit ribosomal RNA
Source: RNAcentral